UGAUGACGAGACGCUAAGGCGUUGAAGCAGUGUAUGUCAGACUUCCAAGAAAAGCUCGCAAUGUCACAAAUAAAGAAUGCCUGUACCAUAACCGACACAGGUGGGUAGGUAGAGUAUACUAAGGGGCGCGAGAUAACUCUCUCUAAGGAACUCGGCAAAAUGACUCCGUAACUUCGGGAGAAGGAGUGCCUUAUUUAUAAGGUUGCAAUAACAAGAUCCAAGCAACUGUUUAUCAAAAACACAGAUCUCCGCUAAGUCGUAAGACGAUGUAUGGGGGCUGACGCCUGCCCAGUGCCAGAAGGUUAAAGAAGUUGGUUAGUGUAUGCGAAGCUGAUGACUGAAGCCCUGGUGAACGGCGGCCGUAACAAUAACGGUCCUAAGGUAGCGAAAUUCCUUGUCGGGUAAGUUCCGACCCGCACGAAAGGCGUAAUGAUUUGGAUACUGUCUCGGAGAGAGGCUCGGUGAAAUAGACUUGUCUGUGAAGAUGCGGACUACCUGCACCAGGACAGAAAGACCCUAUGAAGCUUUACUGUAACUUGAAAUUGGAAUUGGACUUUGCUUGCGCAGUAUAGGUGGGAAGCGUUGAAAAUAUUCUUGCGGGAGUAUUGGAGCUAUCAGUGAGAUACCACUCUUGUAAUGUUAGAUUUCUAACUUUGAACCAUAAUCUGGUCAAAGAACAGUUUCAGGUGGGCAGUUUGACUGGGGCGGUCGCCUCCCAAAUGGUAACGGAGGCGUACUAAGGUUUCCUCUGAACGGAUAGAAAUCGUAUCUAGAGUGUAAAGGCAUAAGGAAGCUUGACUGUGAGACCUACAAGUCGAGCAGGGACGAAAGUCGGUCUUAGUGAUCUGACGGUACUGAGUGGAAAGGCCGUCACUCAACGGAUAAAAGUUACUCUAGGAUAACAGGCUGAUCUCCCCCAAGAGUUCACAUCGACGGGGAGGUUUGGCACCUCGAUGUCGGCUCAUCGCAUCCUGGGGCGGUAGUACGUCCCAAGGGUUGGGCUGUUCGCCCAUGAAAGCGGUACGCGAGCUGGGUUCAGAACGUCGUGAGACAGUUCGGUCCAUAUCCGGUGUAGGCGCUAGAAUAUUGAGAGGAGCCUUCUUUAGUACGAGAGGACCGAGAAGGACACACCGCUGGUGUACCAGUUAUCGUGCCAACGGCAAACGCUGGGUAGCUAUGUGUGGAGUGGAUAACCGCUGAAAGCAUCUAAGUGGGAAGCCCACCUCGAGAUGAG
This 1234-nucleotide ribosomal RNA is filed under the name metagenome. Its description in RNAcentral is "bacterial LSU rRNA". It matches the Rfam family "Bacterial large subunit ribosomal RNA", at positions 1564 to 2808 of the family's 2925-position model. The record is from RNAcentral.